AAGGAUCAUUACCGAGUGAGGGCCCUCUGGGUCCAACCUCCCACCCGUGUCUAUCGUACCUUGUUGCUUCGGCGGGCCCGCCGUUUCGACGGCCGCCGGGGAGGCCUUGCGCCCCCGGGCCCGCGCCCGCCGAAGACCCCAACAUGAACGCUGUUCUGAAAGUAUGCAGUCUGAGUUGAUUAUCGUAAUCAGUUAAAACUUUCAACAACGGAUCUCUUGGUUCCGGCAUCGAUGAAGAACGCAGCGAAAUGCGAUAAGUAAUGUGAAUUGCAGAAUUCAGUGAAUCAUCGAGUCUUUGAACGCACAUUGCGCCCCCUGGUAUUCCGGGGGGCAUGCCUGUCCGAGCGUCAUUGCUGCCCUCAAGCACGGCUUGUGUGUUGGGCCCCCGUCCCCCUCUCCCGGGGGACGGGCCCGAAAGGCAGCGGCGGCACCGCGUCCGGUCCUCGAGCGUAUGGGGCUUUGUCACCUGCUCUGUAGGCCCGGCCGGCGCCAGCCGACACCCAACUUUAUUUUUCUAAGGUUGACCUCGGAUCAGGUAGGGAUACCCGCUGAACUUAAGCAUAUCAAUAAGCGGAGGAAAAGAAACCAACAGGGAUUGCCUCAGUAACGGCGAGUGAAGCGGCAAGAGCUCAAAUUUGAAAGCUGGCCCCUUCGGGGUCCGCGUUGUAAUUUGCAGAGGAUGCUUCGGGUGCAGCCCCCGUCUAAGUGCCCUGGAACGGGCCGUCAUAGAGGGUGAGAAUCCCGUCUGGGACGGGGUGUCUGCGUCCGUGUGAAGCUCCUUCGACGAGUCGAGUUGUUUGGGAAUGCAGCUCUAAAUGGGUGGUAAAUUUCAUCUAAAGCUAAAUACUGGCCGGAGACCGAUAGCGCACAAGUAGAGUGAUCGAAAGAUGAAAAGCACUUUGAAAAGAGAGUUAAACAGCACGUGAAAUUGUUGAAAGGGAAGCGUUUGCGACCAGACUCGCCCGCGGGGUUCAGCCGGCAUUCGUGCCGGUGUACUUCCCCGUGGGCGGGCCAGCGUCGGUUUGGGCGGCCGGUCAAAGGCCCUCGGAAUGUAUCACCUCUCGGGGUGUCUUAUAGCCGAGGGUGCAAUGCGGCCUGCCUGGACCGAGGAACGCGCUUCGGCUCGGACGCUGGCGUAAUGGUCGUAAAUGACC
RNAcentral lists this ribosomal RNA (1154 nucleotides) under Aspergillus fumigatus. RNAcentral describes it as "eukaryotic LSU rRNA". The stretch from base 522 to 1154 matches the Rfam family "Eukaryotic large subunit ribosomal RNA", at positions 1 to 649 of the family's 3401-position model. The record is from RNAcentral. Lineage: Eukaryota; Fungi; Ascomycota; Eurotiomycetes; Eurotiales; Aspergillaceae.